AAUCAAACUCAGUUGAUUCAGUGAUUGACAGAGACACGUGUGAUGAUCCUCAUGUCUGUAAAAACCUGCACAACAUCCACGGAUUUGACAUCACAAGAGUAAGGUUAAUGUACGAAAGUUGGUCUUGAAGAUGUUUUCAGAAUUAAAGUGAAUGAUACAGUUUUCUAUAGUUUGGCUAAUAGAAGAUGUUCAGUAAUUGUUUUUUGUUUCAGGCCUGUGACUGAGACUGAGCGACUGUCUCCAGGUAAAUGAUGUGAGUGUGUUUGCAUAUUGAUCAGAUGCUUCAGUGCUCUGAGAGUGUUUAUAGUGCUGUGAGUUUAACACUUCAUCACUGACACACACAACAAUCUUCAUCAACAUGACCUUCAUCAUCAUCUUCAUCUGGACUCUUUCAUACUGCUUUAUACUACAAGGGUGUAAAGCUCAGAUCACAGUCACUCAGACUCCAGUGAAACCUGUCACACCAGGAGAAAAUGUAGAGAUGAGCUGUAAACUCAGUACUCCUGCACCCUGCAGCCCAAACCCCUGUGUGUUCUGGUACUUACAGAAACCUGGAGAAGCUCCUAAACUCCUGAUUCGUUAUGUUAACACCCGUCAGUCAGGAACUCCAUCUAGAUUCAGUGGCAGUGGAUCUGGGACUGAUUUCACUCUGACCAUCAGUGGAGUCCAGACUGAAGAUGCUGGACAUUAUUACUGUCAGAGUUACCACUACAUCAAUAGUAAAAGUGUGUUCACACAGUGA
Non-coding RNA from Carassius auratus (goldfish), 742 nucleotides. Lineage: Eukaryota; Metazoa; Chordata; Actinopteri; Cypriniformes; Cyprinidae. The record is from the annotation of a RefSeq genome assembly.